UUAGUCUUUUCUUAUGUGAACUACUCUGUUCACAAUUUGUAUACCUGUGACUUUUUCCAUAAGAAUGAUUAUUAAUAAAUAAAUAAUUUAUUAACAAUUCCCUGACAAGACAGGGAUGGGAUUCUCCUGGGGAAGUAUACUUUCCUCAUGUUUCUUUUAAAGAUGUCAGAUAACUACCUUAAUUGCACAGAAUCAAAGCCAAACUCUAUUGACGUCAAUGCAGUUACCUGGGUUUUAAUAAUAUCAGAUAAAUAUAAAAAACAGUAUCAAGCAAAAAUUCACAGAGAAUAAUAAAACACCCACACAAACCUCCCGUUGAGAUGUUCCUGGUGCUGACACUUCCCUUAUUUGGAAUGUAUGGCUGUAGUGCCUAUGACUCUGUGCUCAGACCAGAGCUCUCCUUUGAAUCGUCUCUUUUCCCCUUGAGAAAAUAAUGUGCAGAAAAUGCCUCUAACACCUCGGUAAUGAGAUGAGAUUAGCACUAGAAAAACAGCUCCAGACUCAGAAAAUAUCAGGGACCUGGUAGCAGGAAUAGGUUCUGCAACCCCUUUCCACUCCUUGAAGAUGCAGGACUGCCCCUGUUCGAGCUCCAAUGUGGUGCAGCCGAGUAACACUUGAGCUGAGUGACGUGGAAGGACCAGUGUGAGAAAGUCCUGAGAGAAAACAUCUAGGGCCAAGACACCUUGGCACUUGGGCAGGGGCCCUUGUAAAGCUUGUGCUCCCCAUGGGCAGAUCUGUGCUCAGCCCUGCACCUUGCUGGUCCCAGCCUUACUGAACCGGCUGCAUGGCUUCACUCCAAACCUGUCCUGUCACAGCUGAUCUGUGUGGCCAGCACUGCAAGCUAACGCCAUCCCAUCCACAGCACACCCAGGACUGGUAAUUUAGCCACAACAAAAAGCUUAAAGAGCCAUAGCUAUUGAGUAAGCAAUGACUUUGAAGCACAUGCAAGUAGAAAAAUUGAUGUGCAGAAAAGAUCAUUUAGCAUUCAUUUGGUUUCCCUGACACUAAUUAUAACAGGAAGAAGAGUUCCCUCUGUUUAUUGACAGGGAUUGAGUGAAUGUAUUUCUUAGCUUCCUAACCCAAACUAUCAAAGAUGAUUUUUGAUUUUGCUCUGAAAAUAAGAGUUUUAGAAUUUUACUGAAUAAAAGCAGCAUCACCUGGGCACUGGAGCCAUGCCCUUGAUGGCUAUCAGCUGCAGCAGCUCUAAGGAAACAGUGGAGAUACCCUGCUGCUGGUCUACACUAGGGAAGGAAGUGACAUCCUGGGAAAGCUGCUUGCUCAGUGGCCCUAGAACAUCUCAGUAAUUCCAGGUCAAGAGACAAAUUCUGACACCUCUGUGGCAGCAAGAUGAUCAUCGCCAAAAUGAAAAACACAGACAACACAGACAACGCCAGCAGCCUGUCAAGCAUAACUUCACGGUUCAGUGGUGCUACCGAAUGCCAAGGAGUCAAUCCUCAGCAACAGACUGCUGAGGCUCUUUUGGGACUAAUUAGUUUGAGAAGAAAACAGCUGCCACAGUUUGGAAAGACUAAUUGGGGGUCAGCUACUUUUGUUCCAUCUCUCCUUGCCAUUUCUGUUUGAUUUCACUGGGAGCCCAGAGGUCCUGUGAUCUUUAUUACAACUUCAUAGUAGCCCUCAAAUGAAAGGACAAUUCAUCACAUAUCACUACAUUAACUACUUUUCAGGGGUACCUCUCCUUUUCAAACAGCAAGGUUCAGCACUUGCACAACUGGUAGAUACCCACGUGCUAAGCAUUAUUUAUUAUAAAUCAACUUUUUAAACUCUGUGGUAUAACUGGACAGCAACAAACCAACCAAGCUGUUUGACUUGGGUGGAGAUUGGGAUCUUUAGGAAAGCCUCUUACCCCAAGAACAGAUCAGAUCUUAGGAGGGAGGAAUGACAGCCCCAUGGUAAUGUCUCAUGCAAGUGGUCCAGCAGAGCUGACCUCUGGGGGAGCACCACAUCACAGGUACCCUGGCAAGGGAAGCCACAGCAAGGUAAAACCAAAGCAUUGAGCACAUUUCUGUGCUUAUUGCAAUCCCUUCAAAUCACUUUUCCCAUCUUUAGUCCUCACCUCACUACAACCCCAAGCAGCUCAUGCUUAGGAGCAAAGAACGCACUUUUAUCUAAUACAUGCCCAACCAGAUCUAGCUGAGGAGGCACUGGCCUCUAAUGCAAACUUGUAGGUUCUAACAGAUAAAAGUAAAACCAGGCAAUUUUACUUCUUACAUGCACAAGUCAGGAUUUCAAACCUUGGUUGAAGCUGCUGAGCCCCAAGCAGAGCUGGCAGCUGAGCAGCUCCUUGUCAUGUUGGAUGAAGAGAAGCUGCUGCCAGAGGCUGCCAAGCUGCAGCAAAGCUCCCAAUCUUAGGCUCCUGCAAGGAGAUGAAGGUUUGUAAAGCCAAGGCUGAUGGAGCUGCCUUGAGACCCUGCACCUGCCCACAGGCAGGGUUCACUCUGAGGUUUUCUAGCAGAGACAUGUACAGCUCCAAGUGAGUGGAAUCACCCAGCACUGUUUCCUUCCCCAGUGCCACAAGUCUAUCUUUGAAGUUUGGAGCAGAUUUUACUUAAACUCCAAAUUGCCUUUUGAAGACGUACUUGUUAUUUUUAAUCAGAUAGCAGAGGCAAUACAUUAAAAGACUCACGAAACUUUUAAGUCAGACCUCCUUCCCUAAAGAAAUAGUCACACAACACUCAAUUUUUAUGAGCUGGUGGAGUCAUCAGUUAAUCUGAGACAGAAACAGCAACAUACAUGUGAAAACAGGUAUGUAACAGUGUAACUCAGCACCAGGAAUUUCACAGUGGCAGCCUCACACUUCCAGAAACCUCCACCAUACUGAAAUUAGGGUAGCAUUUUGGGAUGCACUCUGAUCCACCUCUGGACUACUUCAGACAAGAACACUUCCAUUCCCUUCCUGCUCCUACAAUGUUUUACACCAAAUCUACCAUCCUCUAGCUUUGGUAUGACACCAUCACUUCACUAACCCUAUGAGAAAUUUUUUUUGGGUGGAUUUAUUUCCUAGUUUCCCUACAGGAAGGAAGAUGUAUGUUUUGCUAGACUUUACAUCCUGCAGGAAAAAACCAAACACGCAGAGAUUACCCCUGUUGGUGGCAGCCCUCAAUUGCCAUCAAGUCUGCCCUGAAAUGGGACUGACCAUCCCUGAAAUGGUACUUCACUGGUGUCACCAUUCAGAGCAGACAACACCACAAAAUAUGUACUUCAGACAGAAACCUUCUGGUCAUGAGAGUAACACUUAUCAGGGUGUGCUCACAACAGUUACACAAGGGAGGUAUGUGCCUGCACCAGAAGGAACAGAUGUCUUCCUGACAGGGAACACAGGGAUUAGUAAUCCCUCUUCCAGGCCCCCAAACAUGCAUGAAAACUCACAGCUUGGAAAUACAAACCUGGUUUAAACCCAAUGGAGAACAGAUUUACUUUUAGACAAAAGAAGCCAGGAUUAAACCCGUUUCUAAAUUAAAAACUGUGGGUUUGUAUUACAGCAAUAAAAAUCCACAUAAAGGGCACUUUGAAAAGCUUCAUGGCUUUACACCAUCGUUCCAGCACUGUUUACCACAGCUGCUAGUGCCCAGUGAUGACCCACUGUGAGGGCCACCUGCAACACAAGACACUGCAGAACAGAACCUGUAGCUCAAGGCACCCCUGCUGUAAUUAUCCAAACACAAGCUUUGCUUUUGUCCAAUCCAGGUUCUGCCAGAACAACCAGACUAGAAAAAGCAGCUUCACUGUGCACUGCAGCCUUGAUCUCAGAACUCAUACUGAAUCCAACAAAAAAAACCCAAACCCACUCUUUUCCUGGCAGGCAGCUGUGAAGGGCAAUAAAAGCCCCAGCGUUAACUCCUCAUUGGUCAAAACCUGUCACACCAUGUCAUACCAGGUUCCUGAUUUUGAUGGACCAGGUUUUUAUUUAUCCUGCUUCAAAAGGAAUCCAAUUCCUCAACACUGGCAUUUAGGACACUUCCAGAGAUAAGCAGGUGAACUUUGGGGACUUCUGCACUUAGGGUACCAUAUCUCCUCCUCUGCUCCUCCCUCCCCAAAUGAUGCUGGAGCUGGACACUGCACAGCUGGACUUAUGGCAACAGCCAGCUCCUCAGGGGCAGCACACACCAACUGCAGCAGUACCAGCUCCUGUGGCUGGAUUUGGGAGCUGUUGAAAACCACAGGAAAGGAAAAAAAACUCAAGCCAAAACCCAACUCAUAUAGUGAUUACCAACUGAAGCUUGUUUAAAAAAAGCCAAGCCUCCAAAGAUCACAAUACAGACAUCUGUCCUGUUUUAAGAAGCUGGCAGCUGCACUGUUGAUUACCCAACACCCACGUCUCAUCCAGGUUUCAAAUCUCCACUGUUGGAACAGCAUCUAGGGUUAAGGUGGUUUUUUUUUUUUUUGUUUUGUUUCAUUCAAGAGAUUAUCAUUGUGUGAUCAGCUUCACAAAUUUCAUUGAGCUGUGUAAAUACUUACUUUGAAAAGCAAUAAGGGGGUUGAGUCACAAAUGAAGAUUGACCAAAACCAAAUCCUUUAUUUCCACAACUGUAUAAAUGUGUUCCAAGUAUGUGUCCAACACAAGUUAGAAAAACAAAAUAGAACAUGCCAGUUGCAAACUAGAUCAGUUCACCGACGUGCUGACUCCUUGGUAUUAGGCUUAGUUACACAAGACCAGUCACAGUAAAAAGAUACAUUUUAGAG
Molecule: non-coding RNA, 4701 nt
Organism: Cyanistes caeruleus (blue tit)
Lineage: Eukaryota; Metazoa; Chordata; Aves; Passeriformes; Paridae
Source: RefSeq, a predicted model, not a curated record